RNAcentral lists this ribosomal RNA (253 nucleotides) under uncultured bacterium. Its description in RNAcentral is "partial 16S ribosomal RNA". It matches the Rfam family "Bacterial small subunit ribosomal RNA", at positions 524 to 776 of the family's 1533-position model. The record is from RNAcentral.
UACAGAGGUGGCAAGCGUUGCUCGGUAUCACUGGGCUUAAAGGGCGCGUAGGCGGUGCGGUACGGUUUCGGUGAAAUCCCUCGGCCCAACCGAGGAACAGCCGGAGCUACGGCCGGACUAGACGGCAUCAGGGGACAGUGGAACCCCCGGUGGAGCGGUGAAAUGCGUAGAUAUCGGGAGGAACGCCGGUGGCGAAAGCGACUGUCUGGGGUGCCUGUGACGCUGAGGCGCGAAAGCCAGGGGAUCAAACGGG